GGGCUGGGAUCAGGCACCUAUUUCUAGCCCAUAACACCUAGCACCGCCACACCCCCAAGGGCACUCAGCAGUGAUAAACAUUGAUAAUAAGCGUCAGCUUGAAUCAGUUAAUGUACAAAAAGCCGGCCAACCCGGUGCCAGCCGCCGCGGCUACACCGUUGGGCUUAAGUUGAUAACUACGGCGUUAAGCGUGUUUUAAGAAUACUAUAAUUAGAGCUAAACCUGGCCCGAACUGUGACACGUACGCCUCCCAGAAAUACAAAACGAAAGUUACUCUAAUAAUCACUUGAACCCACGACAAUUAAGAAACAAACUGGGAUUAGAUACCCCACUAUGCUUAAUCGUAAAAUAUUUAUUUACACAUUCAACCGCCAGAGUACUACGAGUAACUAACUUAAAACUCAAAGGACUUGACGGCGUCUCACCUACCUAGAGGAGCCUGUUAUAUAACCGAUAUUACCCGAUACACCUAACCACUUUUUGCUAAUCAGUCUGUAUACCUCCGUCGCCAGCUUACCGUAUGAAUGUUAAUUAGUGAGCCAAAUGAUUACCUCAUCAACACGUCAGGUCAAGGUGCAACCCACAAAGUGGUAAGAAAUGGGCUACAGUUUCUAACUUAGAACAUACGAAUAGUCAUAUGAAAAAUGACAAUGAAGGUGGAUUUAGUAGUAAGGGGUAAAUAGAGUGUCCCCCUUAAUCCAGCAAUGAGACGUGUACACACCGCCCGUCACCCUCUUCAAUCAAAUAUACUUCAGUCUAUAACAUCCUAUAAUACUAAAGAAGAGGUAAGUCGUAACAUGGUAAGUAUACUGGAAAGUGUGCUUGGAACAACAAAAUAUAGCUUAACUAAAGCAUUUCGCUUACACCGAACUAAUAUCUGUUUAAACCAGAUUAUUUUGAGCCAUAAACCCCGCCCACAACAUUUAAUAUAUAUAUAUACAUAUAACACAAAACAUUUUAACAACCUAGUAAAGGUGAUUAAAAAAUUAAUAAGAGCCACAUAUAUAGUACCGCAAGGGAAAAGUGAAAUAGAAAUGAAAUAAACUAAAAAGCCAAUAAAAGCAGAGAUUAAUACUCGUACCUUUUGCAUCAUGGUCUAGCUAGUCUAAACAAGCAAAUCACAACAUUUAGCUUGUACCCCCGAAACUUGACGAGCUACUUAAAAACAGCUAUUAGAGCCAACUCAUCUCUGUUGCAAAAGAGUGAGAAGAUUUUUAAGUAGAGGUGACAUGCCUAUCGAGUCAAGAGAUAGCUGGUUGCUUAAGAAAAGAACCUUAGUUCUACCUCAAAACAUGUUAUAACACCAAUUAUAUUUGAGAGCUAUUCAAAUAUGGUACAGCCUAUUUGAUACUGGAUACAACCAAAAAUUAAGGGUAAUGUAAUAUUUCAUAUUAAUCAAGUCGGCCUAAAAGCAGCCACCUUUAAAAUAGCGUUAAAGCUUAACCAAACCUCCCUAAAAAUAUUAUCUUUUUCACAAAACCCUACCUCAAUAUUAAGCACUUCUAUAACUUAUAAAUGUUAUUAUGCUAGAACUAGUAACAAGAGAACUCUCUCCUAAAUGUAAGUAUAUAUCAAACAUGAUCCUUACUACUAUAAAUGUAAUACCCUCCUAGAAACCCUUACCAAAUCUACUAUUAAACUUACACAAGAACAUUACAGGAAAGAUUAAAACAAAAAGAAGGAACUCGGCAAACCUUAGUCUCGCCUGUUUACCAAAAACAUCACCUCUUGAUCAAUUAUAAGAGGCCCAGCCUGCCCAGUGAUCAUUUCAACGGCCGCGGUACCCUAACCGUGCAAAGGUAGCACAAUCACUUGUUCUUUAAAUAAGGACUAGUAUGAAUGGCACCACGAAGACUAUACUGUCUCCUUUCUGGAAUCAGUGAAACUGAUCUUCCCGUGAAGAAGCGGGAAUUAUUAUAUAAGACGAGAAGACCCCAUGAAGCUUCAAAUUAAAUAUUAACUGCCACCUCCCAACACCACCCCAACCCAGCAGAUCUAAUUAUUAAUUUUAGGUUGGGGUGACCACGGAGUAAAACAAAACCUCCACAAUGAAUAGGACUAAAUCCCUAAUUUAAGAACAACAACUCUAACAAUCAAUAUAUUGACAUAACUUGACCCAAAUUUUUGAUCAAUGAACCAAGUUACUCUGGGGAUAACAGCGCAAUCCAUUUCAAGAGCCCAUAUCGACAAAUGGGUUUACGACCUCGAUGUUGGAUCAGGGUACCCCAGUGGUGCAGCCGCUACUAAAGGUUG
This 2253-nucleotide unclassified non-coding RNA is filed under the name Arthroleptis stenodactylus (common squeaker). Its description in RNAcentral is "partial contains 12S ribosomal RNA, tRNA-Val, and 16S ribosomal RNA". The stretch from base 1 to 838 matches the Rfam family "Bacterial small subunit ribosomal RNA", at positions 312 to 1533 of the family's 1533-position model. Lineage: Eukaryota; Metazoa; Chordata; Amphibia; Anura; Arthroleptidae. The record is from RNAcentral.